AGGUCUGCAUGUCUCAGCCCUGUGCUCAGGAAGCUGGCAGUCAGGAAGAUUCACCCUCAUGAAUCAAACAUUCCAAGGCCACAAAUGAAGUGAACAGAGGACCCUCUGGAGAGAGGAUGUUCCCUGGUUCUUGGCUCCCAGUGUUAAGAAUGAACACUGGUGCCUAGUGGAUGAUGGAGCGAUCACAAACACAAAGUGACCACCAGCAGCAUACAUUUAUUGCCAAACAAAAGUAUACAAACCACAGUUUUUGGCCAGGGCUGGGUUUGAACCC
This is a long non-coding RNA of Otolemur garnettii (small-eared galago), 274 nucleotides long. RefSeq lists it as uncharacterized. The record is from RefSeq and is a predicted model, not a curated record. The transcript is spliced from 4 exons. Lineage: Eukaryota; Metazoa; Chordata; Mammalia; Primates; Galagidae.